ACGGGUGAGUAACGCGUGGGAAUCUACCCAUCCCUACGGAACAACUCCGGGAAACUGGAGCUAAUACCGUAUACGCCCUUUGGGGGAAAGAUUUAUCGGGGAUGGAUGAGCCCGCGUUGGAUUAGCUAGUUGGUGGGGUAAAGGCCUACCAAGGCGACGAUCCAUAGCUGGUCUGAGAGGAUGAUCAGCCACAUUGGGACUGAGACACGGCCCAAACUCCUACGGGAGGCAGCAGUGGGGAAUAUUGGACAAUGGGCGCAAGCCUGAUCCAGCCAUGCCGCGUGAGUGAUGAAGGUCUUAGGAUUGUAAAGCUCUUUCACCGGAGAAGAUAAUGACGGUAUCCGGAGAAGAAGCCCCGGCUAACUUCGUGCCAGCAGCCGCGGUAAUACGAAGGGGGCUAGCGUUGUUCGGAAUUACUGGGCGUAAAGCGCACGUAGGCGGAUAUUUAAGUCAGGGGUGAAAUCCCAGAGCUCAACUCCGGAACUGCCUUUGAUACUGGGUAUCUUGAGUAUGGAAGAGGUAAGUGGAAUUGCGAGUGUAGAGGUGAAAUUCGUAGA
Molecule: ribosomal RNA, 557 nt
Filed under: uncultured Rhizobium sp.
Lineage: Bacteria; Pseudomonadati; Pseudomonadota; Alphaproteobacteria; Hyphomicrobiales; Rhizobiaceae
Description: bacterial SSU rRNA
Rfam family: Bacterial small subunit ribosomal RNA
Source: RNAcentral